Rhea pennata is the source of this 2023-nucleotide long non-coding RNA. RefSeq lists it as uncharacterized. Lineage: Eukaryota; Metazoa; Chordata; Aves; Rheiformes; Rheidae. The record is from RefSeq and is a predicted model, not a curated record. The transcript is spliced from 2 exons.
GUUGGGCUGCGGUCCGCGCCGCGCGCCCGCCCGGGCAGCCGCGACGAGGGGCCGCCCCGUAGCCGGGUCCUGCCGUUACCUGGGAGAGCCGGGAUAAUUUUCAAGCGAAAACCAGAAAGCUGUGUUGCUUUUGGCUGCUGACACGACCGCGGGGUCGCUCCUCGGAAGUCCCCAUGAUGAAGACGGUUCAGUUCCGCGCCGUGAGGGCAUGGCGACAGCACAGCGCGACGGGGCGACUGGGCCUCCUUGGGGACCAAAACACCUCUCGCGUAGGAAUUACGACGACCCACGGCGCCCCUGGUUCUGCCCCCAAGGAUCGCUCAGCAGAACAGAGAGAAGCCCCAACAGCACAGCAGUAAUUUCACCCCCAGCCCCCAAAUACAAUCACAUUUUUUUUCCCCCAAGUGUUUAGCAAAUGUAACCUCUGUGUUUUAUAACUUACAUUCAUUGAUCCAACUGAUGUGUUUCUCUUUUGGACAAAUAGUCAUUACAUCUGAAAGUUUACAACUUGGCUUUGAAGUUAAUGUUCACUGAGAUGAAGGAGAAAGUUCACACUUCUUCUAUUGUUUCCAUCCCCCUUGGCUGCGGACCAGAGAAGACAGUAAUGUAGUAAAUUUACAAGUGAUGACUAUUUUUGCAGCCAGAAAAGUCAAAAACGUCUUAAAAUAAUAAUGGCUUGAAUUCUGUAGCACUCAGCAAAAUGCUGCGAAAGGAGGGAAAUGACUCCAGGAAACCUAUGAAUGUUUCAUAAUUAUUAAUUUCUCUGUUUACUAGUUUAACUUCAUCUGUCUUCCACGUAGGGUGCGUUGCCCUUCCUCAGAUUCUGCUGCUGUUCCUACCACCUUUCCUUGCAUUGCCCACAGCUGUUAUUCCCCACCAGAAAUCUGGGGAUCACCUGGAUCACCGCCUUGGACCAUGGGCAGCGACGUGCCUGCCGUCACCUUGGCCCUGAGGACACCAGGGAGAGCACGUUUCCAGCGCCCCGUGCCCCGGUUUAUAUACGUGCGAGGGAUGAGGAGAUAAAAAGCAGAUGAGCGAAACCGUGCUGUUUUUAUAGCGUGUUGUUUGACGAUUCCCGCUGCCAGCACGGCCAGGAGAAGGAGCACAACCGCUGCACCAGCAGGGGAAUUUUGCCACUGCCUGCAGGCUCCAAGCAGAGUAAUUCAGGUUGAAAGGGACACGGGCGCAAAGCAGGGCUGAGGGAAGGGUUGUCCAGGGUUUGGUGCAGCACCUCCUGAAGCUCUCCCAGCUCGGCAACUCCACCGCCUCCCCGGGCAGCUGGCACCAGUGUUAUCCACCCUCCCGGGAAACACAUUUUCCUUACUCCCCAUGGAGAUUCCCUUUGCGACUCCUGUUUCUUGCUCCUCUCUUUGCACCUCCACGAAGAACCUGGCUCCACCACCUCUGCACCCCCUUCAAGCAGCUGAAGGCAUUGAGCAGGUCUCCUGGGGGGAAGGACCCCGCAGCCCCCGGCCGGACACAGUGCACCAGGGCACAGCGGGUGACCAGCCAACGAAAGGCACCGGGAAGCUCCACGCGCUCCCUCCUGGCUAGGGCUUAUCCAAAAUUGUGCUAAGGCUACAGGGAAUUUGGUUACGUCAGGAGCACCCACAGCACGCCCCCCAGAUACCGCUGUAGCACUCGAAUGCAGCUAAUAAGCAGAUGUUCUCAGAUAAUAAAAUAUCUUCUUAAAUGUAAUCUACAGACCAGCAAGAUUUCCAAUACGCAACGUAUAAUUUAAAGCUAAAGUGCAUUAUUAUUGCACUGCUUCAAACCACGGCUCGGCGUACCGCGGCCUUGGCUGGAACGCUUCAGCCCAGUUCAAACCAAGCCCAAAGCCCCGCACGCCGUGGGCCCCGCGCGCCUGUGCAGCGGCCCGAAUUCCCGGGGAGCUGCCGCCACUCUCCCUCCACGUGUCGGAAAUCGGAUCUGGCUCGCUGGAAAUGCCUGCCUGCUUUAUUUUACUCCAUUUAAUCCUUCGCUGUAACGCUAAAUAAAACCUGCUUAUUAUUAACCCUCCCAA